RNAcentral lists this long non-coding RNA (452 nucleotides) under Actinidia chinensis (golden kiwifruit). RNAcentral's name for it is "long non-coding RNA (ACHI_LNC006526)". Lineage: Eukaryota; Viridiplantae; Streptophyta; Magnoliopsida; Ericales; Actinidiaceae. The record is from RNAcentral.
GGGUUUUGACCAAAACAGAUUUUGAUGACUGACCGGACCGUUUCUGCGACCGAUCGACGGUUCAACCGGUGGGUCAAUCUGUGUUUUAAAACCAUACAACUUACAACUAGAUACAGAGACUUGAGAGAUAUUUGCCCACCCAGAGUCGUUAGGAUGCGAUUCCCGAACUCCAACCUUGAUCUUUCUCAGCCUUGCCAGCAUCUCAAAAACUGUAAAACAGCCAAUAAAACAAAUCACAGACCGCAAAAUAACUUUUGCAGACAGUGUUUCCAAAACUACGAUUCAAGCCAGAACAAGAAGUUCAGAAACAUGUCCAUUCAGAAAUAUGACCUUCCAAAUAUGAUCAACAGAACACAUUGUCUGCUUUAGAUUUUAAUAGCUUCACCACAAAUUAGUCAGAUAUGAAUAAAGGUUGUCCAAAUGCCCCUCAGUUGAAUAAGAACCAAAAUGAG